GAUGAACGCUGGCGGCGUGCCUAAUACAUGCAAGUCGAGCGAACGGACGAGAAGCUUGCUUUUCUGAUGUUAGCGGCGGACGGGUGAGUAACACGUGGAUAACCUACCUAUAAGACUGGGAUAACUUCGGGAAACCGGAGCUAAUACCGGAUAAUAUUUUGAACCGCAUGGUUCAAAAGUGAAAGACGGUCUUGCUGUCACUUAUAGAUGGAUCCGCGCUGCAUUAGCUAGUUGGUAAGGUAACGGCUUACCAAGGCAACGAUGCAUAGCCGAACUGAGAGGGUGAUCGGCCACACUGGAACUGAGACACGGUCCAGACUCCUACGGGAGGCAGCAGUAGGGAAUCUUCCGCAAUGGGCGAAAGCCUGACGGAGCAACGCCGCGUGAGUGAAGAAGGUCUUCGGAUCGUAAAACUCUGUUAUUAGGGAAGAACAUAUGUGUAAGUAACUGUGCACAUCUUGACGGUACCUAAUCAGAAAGCCACGGCUAACUACGUG
RNAcentral lists this ribosomal RNA (497 nucleotides) under uncultured bacterium. RNAcentral's name for it is "partial 16S ribosomal RNA". It matches the Rfam family "Bacterial small subunit ribosomal RNA", at positions 28 to 507 of the family's 1533-position model. The record is from RNAcentral.